Molecule: transfer RNA, 73 nt
Filed under: Oryzias latipes (Japanese medaka)
Lineage: Eukaryota; Metazoa; Chordata; Actinopteri; Beloniformes; Adrianichthyidae
Description: tRNA-Thr
Rfam family: tRNA
About the family: Transfer RNA (tRNA) molecules are approximately 80 nucleotides in length. Their secondary structure includes four short double-helical elements and three loops (D, anti-codon, and T loops).
Source: RNAcentral
GCACGAGAAGCUCAAUUGUUAGAGCGCCGGUCUUGUAAACCGGAGGUUGAAGGUUAAAACCCUUCCUUAUGCU